This is a long non-coding RNA of Neofelis nebulosa (Clouded leopard), 1283 nucleotides long. RefSeq lists it as uncharacterized. The transcript has 2 exons. The record is from RefSeq and is a predicted model, not a curated record. NCBI's taxonomy places the organism in Eukaryota, Metazoa, Chordata, Mammalia, Carnivora, Felidae.
UGUAUCGGGAAAAAUUAGUCGAUAAUUCUAGGAGCUAAAAUAGAAAAAAGAAAAAAAAAAAAGCCUGGCGCACAGGACACACUUCACAAUUUUUAAGUGAAUUGAACAAAGCUUUUAUUGCCAAGGAUGACCUUUCACCAGAUGGGCCUUCAUCCCCAACGUGCAGGAGGAAAUCUUGCUGGCACCCUACAGACAAGGAAUAUCGAAACAGCUUCUCAGAGGUAUUCAAAUGCAACAAUACCAUCAUUCAGGACUUCUGGCUCCCAGAGGACUCGUCUGAGGCAAGGCCAACACAUACCCUUAUGGAAUCAGACCUGCUUAAACACCCUGAGGAGCUGUUUUCCUUCAGCCUUUCUGAGCUGGGGGAGAGGAGGACAAUAUGGCUGAUACACCAGUGCCUUGUUGGAUCUGGCCACCAAAGAGAGCAUCCCCUACAUAGGGACUCCUUAGCAGACACACACCCAAAGCUUAGGUAUCGUCUCCGGCAGUGGGCAAAUAAUACCAAGGAACCUCCAGAAUGGGCCUUUCCAUACCACCCAGAAACUCAUGGUCACCCUCCCAUCACAGAUCAAAAGUUUAGCUAAGGAAGGACCACGGCACUUAUUUAUUUCAGCUUUCCUCACACCUCAGUCUUCCAUGUGGGGUCCCAAGACCAUUCUGAUAUCCCUGCCUCCCUAUGCUAUUUGCUACCCUGUGAUUUUUAGCUUCCUGGCCACCUCCAUGGUCUUCCCAUUCAUGUCUCACAGAAGUGGGGUGGCCAUCUUCUUCUGAACCAAACAAGCAAAUGGGGACAGAAGCAGAAGUGGUGAGUAAAGUAGGCAGGGAGAGAAUAUCCAGCAGGAAGGGAUGUAAGGCAAUUUGUCCCCUCACAGAGCAGCUAGCGAUUUGGUGUGGCCUACGCUGGUUGCUGCUGGCCUAAUCAAUAUGUGCUCCGUCUUAAUGAAACACCACUUUCUGGUCAAAGGGGUCAAGAGGCAUUUUUUUUUUUUUUAAUGCAGAGCAAUAAACACCAAGGAAAAUAGAAGCAUAUUCCCUUCCCACCAAACUCAGGCCCAAAGGCACAGCCUGCUCGCAAAAGUGGAUUCACGAACUUCCAGGUAGGCGUCCAGUGAGUCUUCGAUGGAAAGUUCAUCCUUCCCAUUAACUCGGAUGGAAAAAAUGAGCCCAAUGUUCUCGACCUUGAGCUGAAAAGUAGUAUGUACGGAACAAAAGAGGAGCCAGUAUCAAAGGUAAUCUUUGGCCAUACAGUAAUCAUGCUAAAAUAAAUACUACAUUAACAUCCA